UCCGCCAUACAUGUUUCUAUC
RNAcentral lists this microRNA (21 nucleotides) under Brachypodium distachyon (stiff brome). RNAcentral describes it as "bdi-miR7719-5p". The record is from miRBase by way of RNAcentral. Lineage: Eukaryota; Viridiplantae; Streptophyta; Magnoliopsida; Poales; Poaceae.